UGUCGAGGAAAUCCUCGGUAGUUAACUGCAGCCGGUUUCGUAUUUCCUCGGCAGUUAACUACCGAUGGGGUAU
This is a non-coding RNA of Medicago truncatula (barrel medic), 73 nucleotides long. NCBI's taxonomy places the organism in Eukaryota, Viridiplantae, Streptophyta, Magnoliopsida, Fabales, Fabaceae. The record is from Rfam.